This 614-nucleotide ribosomal RNA is filed under the name uncultured bacterium. RNAcentral describes it as "bacterial SSU rRNA". The stretch from base 1 to 516 matches the Rfam family "Bacterial small subunit ribosomal RNA", at positions 338 to 873 of the family's 1533-position model. The record is from RNAcentral.
CCUACGGGAGGCAGCAGUGGGGAAUAUUGGACAAUGGGCGCAAGCCUGAUCCAGCAAUGCCGCGUGAGUGAUGAAGGCCUUAGGGUUGUAAAGCUCUUUUACCAGGGAUGAUAAUGACAGUACCUGGAGAAUAAGCUCCGGCUAACUCCGUGCCAGCAGCCGCGGUAAUACGGAGGGAGCUAGCGUUGUUCGGAAUUACUGGGCGUAAAGCGUACGUAGGCGGUUAUUCAAGUCAGAGGUGAAAGCCCGGGGCUCAACCCCGGAACUGCCUUUGAAACUAGGUAGCUAGAAUCUUGGAGAGGUCAGUGGAAUUCCGAGUGUAGAGGUGAAAUUCGUAGAUAUUCGGAAGAACACCAGUGGCGAAGGCGACUGACUGGACAAGUAUUGACGCUGAGGUACGAAAGCGUGGGGAGCAAACAGGAUUAGAUACCCUGGUAGUCCACGCCGUAAACGAUGAUAACUAGCUGUCCGGUCACUUGGUGACUGGGUGGCGCAGCUACGCAUAAGUUAUCCGUCCGUCGGGUAGGUACGGUCGCGAGAAGUUAAAACGUUAAAUUAGUAAGUUAGUAACGGUCGUGUUAGACGUGCCGAACGGACGACGACGAGGGAGGAGG